GACGAACGCUGGCGGCGUGCUUAACACAUGCAAGUCGUACGGUCAGGCCCUUUUGGGGGUCCACGAGUGGCGUACGGGGGAGUAACAUGUGCGUAAGCUGCCCACAACUCUGGGAUAACGCUAGUAAACUGGUGCUAAUACUGGUUAUGUACUCCUGCUUCAUGGAGGGGGUUGGAAAGCCCCGGCGGCUGUGGGUGGACGCGCGGCCUAUCAGCUUGUUGGUGGGGUAGUGGCCUACCAAGGCGGCGACGGGUAGCCGGCCUGAGAGGGUGACCGGCCACAUUGGGACUGAGAUGCGGCCCAGACUCCUACGGGAGGCAGCAGUGGGGAAUAUUGCACAAUGGGCGCAAGCCUGAUGCAGCAACGCCGCGUGCGGGAUGACGGCCUUCGGGUUGUAAACCGCUUUCAGCAGGGACGAAGCUUUUUGUGACGGUACCUGCAGAAGAAGCACCGGCUAACUACGUG
RNAcentral lists this ribosomal RNA (465 nucleotides) under uncultured bacterium. RNAcentral's name for it is "partial 16S ribosomal RNA". It matches the Rfam family "Bacterial small subunit ribosomal RNA", at positions 28 to 507 of the family's 1533-position model. The record is from RNAcentral.